Magallana angulata is the source of this 2540-nucleotide RNA transcript. It is a transcript of the gene named solute carrier family 23 member 1-like, with no coding region annotated. The transcript has 13 exons. NCBI's taxonomy places the organism in Eukaryota, Metazoa, Mollusca, Bivalvia, Ostreida, Ostreidae. The record is from RefSeq and is a predicted model, not a curated record.
AAUAAAACUUUUUGGGAGCGUCAACAAAACAAGAAAAAAAUAAAGAAAAAGGAAUAAUAAACGGCAUUAAGGUUUAUUGAAACCCGUCAAAUUACCAGAGCGUUGAGAGGCACACAUUGGAUCGGAGGACUGGUGCGGACCCCCAGUUCCACGCACAGACAUGGAGCCUGCACACGCGACGGUGAUUCCUCUUAGGUUUACGCCCACCCCCGGGCCUGACCACGAGUGUGUGAACGCAUCCAGUAAUCCGGGCUUUCUGGAAGACCCGGUACCACGGAAUCAGAGCCCAGAAGAAAACGACCAGCAGUAUAAUGGAGGAUUUAAGCCUUAUUGCUGUACUGACCAGACCUCAGAGGGCUCUACAAAGAAGACUCCAGACGAUGACCCCAAAAUCGAGAUGGAGGACAACCCACUGAUCUACAAAAUCAGUGAGGCCACGCCCAUCCAUCUCACGCUGUUCUUUGCCAUGCAACAAGCGCUAUUGUCUCUCUCAACGUCGUUGGCAGUAUCCUUGUUAGUUGCUGACUACGCAUGCGCAGAACAUGACGAGGACUUUAAGUCGAGGUUGCUGAGCUCCACAUUGUUCAUGAAUGGGAUUACUACGCUCCUCAUGGUUACCAUAGGCGUAAGAUUACCUCUGUACCAAGGAGCUACACCGGACUAUGUGGCACCACUGGUUGCCAUGGCAGCCAUUGACAAGGACAGAUGCAACAUGACAACUACAUAUUUCAACACCACUUCCAACUCGACAGAACUUAUCUACACCAGUAACGAUGACGUCAUUAUUUAUCAUAUACAAACAUUACAGGGCAGUCUGAUGCUGGCCGGGGUGAUCCACUUUGUGGUCGGCGCCACUGGAUUGGUCGGGGUCCUGCUGCGCUUCAUUGGACCGGUCACCAUAGUACCCACAAUUCUGUUGAUCGGAAUAUACAUGGUCACAUCCGUCACAAAGUUCGCGCAAGUUCACUGGGGAAUCUCGUCCAUGACCUGUGCUAUCGCCAUCAUCCUGUCCCUGUACCUGUCCAAACACAACAUGCCCAUCCCUGUAUGGACCAGGAAAAAAUCUUGUCACGUGAUCAGAUAUCCUCUGCAUCAGGUGUUUGCUAUUCUGAUCGCCAUUGUGGUUGGCUGGAUCUUCAGCCUCGUUCUGACAGAGUGCGGAGUGUUUGACAGCGCUACGUCAGUCAACGACAAACUGUAUUAUGCCAGAACGGAUACCAGAAACUACGUCAUCAAAAACGCCAAGUGGUUUCAGUUCCCUUACCCAGGACAGUUUGGCCUGAUUCGAUUCAGCAUCAGUGCUUUUGUGGGGUUCUUUAUUGCCACCAUUGUCUCCAUUCUGGACUCCAUCGGAGAUUACUACGCAUGCGCCACCACGUGCCGUGUCCCGCCUCCUCCUGCACACGCAGUGAAUCGUGGGAUAGCUGUGGAGGGCCUGUGUACCACGCUGUCUGGAGCCGUUGGUUGUGGGCAUGGUACUACGACAUACGGAGGGAACAUCGGCGCUAUUGGUUUGACUAAAGUCGCCAGCAGACACGUGUUUGUGUGCGUGUCCUUGGUUUACAUCCUGUUUGGAAUUAUUGGUAAAUUUUCGGCCGUGUUCAUCACCAUCCCCCACCCCGUGCUCGGUGGCGCUCUCAUCAUCAUGUUCGGAAUGUUUAAUGGGGUAGUUCUCUCCAAUCUCCAGUCAGUGGAUCUCUCGUCUACUCGGAACUCUGCCAUCAUCGGAACCUCUCUGCUGGUUGGCUUGAUGCUGCCACACUGGAUUGAGCGAUAUCCUAAUACGGUGGAUACAGGAUAUCCGGAUGUAGAUGAUGUACUGAAAAUGUUACUAGGAAACCCAAACAUGGUGGGUGCCAUACUUUCCUGUUUCCUUGACAACACCGUACCAGGUACCCCCGAGGAGCGCGGGAUAACGGCCUGGCAGACGGUAGACGAGGAGGCCGUGUCCUCGGGAAACUACCAGGAGGGGUUCGAGGUCUACAAACCCUGGCUCCCGGCGCGCGUCACCAAUGCUAGCUUUAUGACCUACAUCCCAUUCAUGCCCAAUCCCAAGAAACCCGUCCCGGAGCGCCAUCUGUCGGUGGACCUAGGAAGGAGAAAAAGUUUAGUACACGCAAUUCCCACUGGGCGUUGAUAAAGAUUUCAUUUAUUUAACUUUUACAAUUGUUUAGAACCUUGCUAUUGAUUGUUAAGGUGAUUUAAACCUGUUUUCAAUUUUCAUACACAACCAAGCACACUGGUGUGAGAAUGAAACUCAGUAGUGUCCGAAACACGCAUAUAUGACGUCUUUUGAUGGCAGCAACAUACUAGUACAUGUCUGUUAUACCUGUAUUCAACUCAUGCAUCAAUUGUAUCAUCAAUAAAUAAAGAAUAUAGUGUUACUUAUUCAGCAAUAUAAGCAGUGUUUUCCAGUUGGCAUUGCUAUGACUGCGGUAAUAGCUCUGCUGGCUAUAGUUCACAGUUUUCUUAGCGCUUCUUGGUUAAUUUGUUAUGAGCGCAAUUGAAAUUUAUAUUUAAAAUAAAGGAAUUCCUUUUUA